UGGGGAAUAUUGGACAAUGGGCGAAAGCCUGAUCCAGCCAUGCCGCGUGUGUGAAGAAGGUCUUCGGAUUGUAAAGCACUUUAAGUUGGGAGGAAGGGCAUUAACCUAAUACGUUAGUGUUUUGACGUUACCGACAGAAUAAGCACCGGCUAACUCUGUGCCAGCAGCCGCGGUAAUACAGAGGGUGCAAGCGUUAAUCGGAAUUACUGGGCGUAAAGCGCGCGUAGGUGGGUUGUUAAGUUGGAUGUGAAAUCCCCGGGCUCAACCUGGGAACUGCAUUCAAAACUGACUGACUAGAGUAUGGUAGAGGGUGGUGGAAUUUCCUGUGUAGCGGUGAAAUGCGUAGAUAUAGGAAGGAACACCAGUGGCGAAGGUGACCACCUGGACUAAUACUGACACUGAGGUGCGAAAGCGUGGGGAGCAAACA
RNAcentral lists this ribosomal RNA (427 nucleotides) under uncultured bacterium. RNAcentral's name for it is "partial 16S ribosomal RNA". It matches the Rfam family "Bacterial small subunit ribosomal RNA", at positions 355 to 774 of the family's 1533-position model. The record is from RNAcentral.